GAGUCACCAGCACGCAGGAGAAGAGGGCGAAGCGGCCACCCGCGUUCUGUGUUCGGAGUCAGGACGAGAAGCAUUGGAUGAUAAUUUGAUGUGAUAGAAGAUGUGCGAAAAUGAAAUCAUCAUUUAGUUUGGAAACAACCUCAGUGUCCAUCAAUAAGAAAAAGAACUAUGGAAAGCCAUCCUAUAAAACCCUCUGCAAUUUAGAAAAGUUCUCCAAGACAAUUUGUUACAUGAAAAAAGCACACUGUGGCUGGGCACAGUGGCUCACGCCUGAAAUCCCAGCACUUAGCGAGGCUGAAGCGGGCAGAUCGCUUGAGGUCAGGAGUUUGAGACCAACCUGGCCAACAUGGUGAAACCCUGUCUCUACUAAAAUUACAAAAAUCAGCUGGGCCUAGUGGUGGGCACUUGUAGUCCCAGCUACUUGGGAGGCUGAGGCAAGGAGAAUCACUUGAAGCCAGGAGGCAGAAGUUGCAGUGAGCCUAGAUUGUGCCACAGCACUCCAGCCUGGGCGACAGAGCGAGAGUCCGUCUCAAAAAACAAACAAACAAACAAAAAACACUGAAGCCAAAAAACCCAAAAUGAUUCCAUUUCUGUAGAAAAUACCGUGCAAGGCAAAAUGACUAUAUGUUUACAAGGGCAUAGAAAGGUCUGGAAGAAGACAGUGAACUGACGGCAGCAGCUGCCUCCAGGGAGGGGGAAUGUGAAUGGAUAUGCAGUAUGGAAAACAUACAUACUUCCUAUAUUUCUGGAGUUUAUUUCUUUUUUCUUCUCUUGUUCUUUUUUGUUUGUACAAUGAGAAUUUAUUCAUGUGUUUCGUGUGUUAUUUUUUAAAAAGUGUGUUGUCCUUGCCUUUCUGGGGGUUAUUUUAGUGAAGGAUUUAUUUAGCUGCAGGGUUGGUGCCAAAAUGGGUGAUAAAGACUAGCCAGCCAGAAAAGGUGGGCAUUAUACUGCUGAGAAAGGAACUAGGAGCUUCAGUCAGGUCUUUGGGUCUGAGAGGUGACUUGCUGAAAUUAAUAUUAAAUUUAAAUUAAUAUUAAAUAUUAAAUUUAAGAAGAGUAACCCAAAGGCAGUAUGUGAGUAUAACUUGGAGAUCCCAGAAAGAAGGAAAUAGGUUGGAGGAUCUAGUGCUCCAAGAGGGGCUUCCUGGGUCGAGUAGAGAUGAAGGUUAUGAGCCAGGUUGUGGCCACUGGUCAGCUGGCUAAGUGCAAAGAUUUAUUCAGUCAAUAGUGUCAUAUUUGGAGGCCAUGGAUAAUAUCAAGCCCAGGCUUGAUUUUUGGAGAGAUAGUAGCCUGGUAGGGGAAUAACAUUAAUUAUAAAACCCUUACACAAUGCUCACUGGAUAUCAGACACUCUUUUUUUUUU
RNAcentral lists this long non-coding RNA (1362 nucleotides) under Homo sapiens (human). RNAcentral's name for it is "non-protein coding lnc-SELENOT-45:5". Lineage: Eukaryota; Metazoa; Chordata; Mammalia; Primates; Hominidae. The record is from RNAcentral.